GAUGAACGCUGGCGGCGUGCCUAAUACAUGCAAGUCGAGCGAACGGACGAGAAGCUUGCUUCUCUGAUGUUAGCGGCGGACGGGUGAGUAACACGUGGAUAACCUACCUAUAAGACUGGGAUAACUUCGGGAAACCGGAGCUAAUACCGGAUAAUAUUUUGAACCGCAUGGUUCAAAAGUGAAAGACGGUCCUGCUGUCACUUAUAGAUGGAUCCGCGCUGCAUUAGCUAGUUGGUAAGGUAACGGCUUACCAAGGCAACGAUGCAUAGCCGACCUGAGAGGGUGAUCGGCCACACUGGAACUGAGACACGGUCCAGACUCCUACGGGGGGCAGCAGUAGGGAAUCUUCCGCAAUGGGCGAAAGCCUGACGGAGCAACGCCGCGUGAGUGAUGAAGGUCUUCGGAUCGUAAAGCUCUGUUAUUAGGGAAGAACAUAUGUGUAAGUAACUGUGCACAUCUUGACGGUACCUAAUCAGAAAGCCACGGCUAACUACGUG
This 497-nucleotide ribosomal RNA is filed under the name uncultured bacterium. Its description in RNAcentral is "partial 16S ribosomal RNA". It matches the Rfam family "Bacterial small subunit ribosomal RNA", at positions 28 to 507 of the family's 1533-position model. The record is from RNAcentral.